Molecule: unclassified non-coding RNA, 499 nt
Filed under: uncultured Glomeromycotina
Lineage: Eukaryota; Fungi; Glomeromycota
Description: SSU rRNA
Rfam family: Eukaryotic small subunit ribosomal RNA
Source: RNAcentral
CCAAUAGCGUAUAUUAAAGUUGUUGCAGUUAAAAAGCUCGUAGUUGAAUUUCGGGAUCAGUUGAUCGGUCGUGCCUCGGUACGUACUGGUCAAAUUGAUUCCUACCUUCUGACGAACCACGAUGUCAUUAAUUUGGUGUCGUGGGAAAUCAGGACUGUUACUUUGAAAAAAUUAGAGUGUUUAAAGCAGGCUCGCGCUUGAAUACAUUAGCAUGGAAUAAUGAAAUAGGACGUUUGAUUCUAUUUUGUUGGUUUCUAGGAUCGACGUAAUGAUUAAUAGGGAUAGUUGGGGGCAUUAGUAUUCAAUUGUCAGAGGUGAAAUUCUUGGAUUUAUUGAAGACUAACUACUGCGAAAGCAUUUGCCAAGGAUGUUUUCAUUAAUCAAGAACGAAAGUUAGGGGAUCGAAGACGAUCAGAUACCGUCGUAGUCUUAACCAUAAACUAUGCCGACUAGGGAUCGGAUGAUGUUAAUUUUUUAAUGACUCAUUCGGCGCCUUACG